GGGUAACGGGGAAUCAGGGUUCGAUUCCGGAGAGGGAGCCUGAGAAAUGGCUACCACAUCCAAGGAUGGCAGCAGGCGCGCAAAUUACCCACUCCCAGCUUGGGGAGGUAGUGACGAAAAAUAACAAUGCGGGACUCUAAGAGGCCCCGUAAUUGGAAUGAGUACACCUUAAAUCGUUUAACGAGUAUCAAUUGGAGGGCAAGUCUGGUGCCAGCAGCCGCGGUAAUUCCAGCUCCAAUAGCGUAUAUUAAAGUUGCUGCAGUUAAAAAGCUCGUAGUUGGAUCUGGGGCUUGAGGUCGCUGUCUAUCGUUUCGGCGAUGACGGUGAUGCUCAGCUCUGCUUGCCGGUGACUGUUGCGGUGUUCUUCACUGAGCGCUGUAGCAGCACGGCACGUUUACUUUGAAAAAAUUAGAGUGCUCAAAGCGUGCUUGUCGCUUGAAUAAUGUUGCAUGGAAUAAUGGAAUAGGACCUCGGUUCUAUUUUGUUGGUUUUCGGAGCUUGAGGUAAUGAUUAAGAGGGACGAACGGGGGCAUUCGUAUUGCGGUGUUAGAGGUGAAAUUCUUGGAUCGCCGCAAGACGGACUACUGCGAAAGCAUUUGCCAAGAACGCUUUCAUUAAUUAAGAACGAAAGUCAGAGGUUCGAAGACGAUCAGACACCGUCCUAGUUCUGACCAUAAACGAUGCCGACCAGCGAUCCGUAGUGGUUGCUUUAUGGACCCUACGGGCAGCCUCCGGGAAACCAAAGUAUUUGGGUUCCGGGGGAAGUAUGGUUGCAAAGCUGAAACUUAAAGGAAUUGACGGAAGGGCACACCAGGAGUGGAGCCUGCGGCUUAAUUUGACCCAACACGGGAAAACACACCCGGUCCGGACACCGUAAGGAUUGACAGACUGAUAGCUCUUUCUUGAUUCGGUGGAUGGUGGUGCAUGGCCGUUCUUAGUUGGUGGAGUGAUUUGUCUGGUUAAUUCCGAUAACGAACGGGACUCUAGCCUGCUAAGUAGUGUUGCUAUUGUUAUAUGGUUGACACUUCUUAGAGGGACAAGUGGCAUUUAGCCACGCGAAAUUGAGCAAUAACAGGUCUGUGAUGCCCUUAGAUGUCCGGGGCCGCACGCGCGCUACACUGGAGAAGUCAGCGUGUGUUAUCCAAGUCCGAAAGGACUGGGUAAUCCGUUGAACCUUCUUCGUGCUUGGGACUGUGGCUUGGAACUAUUCCACAUGAACGAGGAAUUCCUAGUAAUUGCAAGUCAUAAGCUUGCGUUGAUUACGUCCCUGCCCUUUGUACACACCGCCCGUCGCUACUACCGAUUGAAUGGUUUAGCAAGGUCCUCGGAUCGUGGCCGUAGGGGCACGCAAGUGUUUCUGCGGUUUGCGAGAAGACGACCAAACUUGAUCAUUUAGAGGAAGUAAAAGUCGUAACAAGGUU
This 1421-nucleotide ribosomal RNA is filed under the name metagenome. RNAcentral describes it as "SSU rRNA". It matches the Rfam family "Eukaryotic small subunit ribosomal RNA", at positions 357 to 1801 of the family's 1831-position model. The record is from RNAcentral.